This 497-nucleotide ribosomal RNA is filed under the name uncultured bacterium. RNAcentral describes it as "partial 16S ribosomal RNA". It matches the Rfam family "Bacterial small subunit ribosomal RNA", at positions 28 to 507 of the family's 1533-position model. The record is from RNAcentral.
GAUGAACGCUGGCGGCGUGCCUAAUACAUGCAAGUCGAGCGAACAGACUACUACUUUCCUCCUCUGACGUUAGCGGCGGGCGGGUGAGUAACGCGUGGAUACCCUACCUCACAUACUGGGAUAACUUCGGGAAUCGGGCUAUAAUCCGGGAGAAUGUAUUGUACGGUAUGGUUGAAGAGUGAAAGUCGGUUUUGCUAUGACUUCUCGGUGUAUCCGCGCCGCGUUGGAUUGUUGGUAAGCUAACGCCUUGCCAGGUGGACGAUGCGUAGCCGAAUUGAGCGGGUGAUCGGCCACACUAGAACUGAGACACGGACAAUACUCCUACGGGAGGCAGCAGUAGGGAAUCGUCGGCAAUGGUCGAAAGCAUGACGGAGCAACGCCGAGCGAGAGGUGAAGGUGUUCGGUUCGUAAUGCUCGGUUACUAGGGAAGAACAAAUGUGUAAGUAAAUAUGCCCGUAGUGACGGUACCUAAUCAGAAAGCAACGGCUAACUACGUG